CGCUCAGUCCUACCUUUCGUUAGUUGGCUCGUCUUAAAAGUAGCUGGCCCACAUAUCAUCCCCUUAGUAAUCCACGACACGCGUUCCCGUUCGCGUCGACGUUUACACCGCCACGGAAUACACUGAUCCGCUCGGAAUCUCUUUCUCUGUCUUUCGCUCCGCUGGUUUAUCGUCCAAAAACGAACAAGAAUUUUUUCGUGUACCGCAACCGCAACUGGAUAUUACUCUUUAGAUCGGAUAUAAAAGACGCUUGUGACAAUUCUACUGGAUGACAUUGGACUCAAUCGUCGAUUGCCACAGAAUGGCUGAGUAAGAACUGUGGUCGCAGGAGGCACGAAAUGAUUCCAGUAGAAAUUAAAUCCAUUCGCAGCCUGCUUGGAAAACCCCGGAACGGCGUGAACUUGUGCCAGUUUUCGUUGCGUCUUUCGAAAAAUCUGUUCCCUUAUCUGUGAGCGAGAGUUCCUUUCACUGUACAGUUCGACCAGAAAGGAAGUCGAAAAUUCAAGGAAAUCCGUAGCAAACGGAUAAGAGAGAUACACGAAGUAUCGAGGAAAGAGAAAAGUCAGAAGACAGAUUGUAUCGAGACCAAAGAAACAGC
This is a non-coding RNA of Nomia melanderi (Alkali bee), 598 nucleotides long. The record is from RefSeq and is a predicted model, not a curated record. NCBI's taxonomy places the organism in Eukaryota, Metazoa, Arthropoda, Insecta, Hymenoptera, Halictidae.